This 1476-nucleotide ribosomal RNA is filed under the name metagenome. RNAcentral describes it as "bacterial LSU rRNA". The stretch from base 277 to 1476 matches the Rfam family "Bacterial large subunit ribosomal RNA". The record is from RNAcentral.
AGAGUUUGAUCCUGGCUCAGGAUGAACGCUAGCGGCAGGCCUAAUACAUGCAAGCCGAACGGCAAGUUUUGAUAGCAAUAUUAAACCUAGAGUGGCGUAAGGGUGCGUAACACGUAUGCAAUCUGCCCUGUACAGGGGAAUAGCUCGGUGAAAACCGGAUUAAUGCCCCGUAAUAUGUUUGGAAGGCAUCUUCUGAUCAUUAAAGUUGAGGCGGUACAGGAUGAGCAUGCGUAUGAUUAGUUAGUUGGCGGGGUAACGGCCCACCAAGACGAUGAUCAUUAGGAAACUGAGAGGUUGAUCCCCCACACUGGCACUGAGAUACGGGCCAGACUCCUACGGGAGGCAGCAGUAGGGAAUAUUGGACAAUGGGUGAGAGCCUGAUCCAGCCAUGCCGCGUGCAGGAAGAAGGCCUUCUGGGUUGUAAACUGCUUUUGCCAGGGGAUAAAAUGUCUGUGCGCAAAUAAUUGAAGGUACCUGGUGAAUAAGCCACGGCUAACUACGUGCCAGCAGCCGCGGUAAUACGUAGGUGGCACAGGCCAGGGGGUAGCGACUGUUUAUCAAAAACACAGGGCUCUGCGAAGCCGCAAGGCGACGUAUAGGGUCUGACGCCUGCCCGGUGCCGGAAGGUUAAAAGGAGUGGUGCAAGCUACGAAUUGAAGCCCCGGUAAACGGCGGCCGUAACGAUAACGGUCCUAAGGUAGCGAAAUUCCUUGUCGGGUAAGUUCCGAUCUGCACGAAUGGCGUAACGACUUCCCCACUGUCUCCAGCAUAGGCUCAGCGAAAUUGAAUUCCCCGUGAAGAUGCGGGGUUCCCGCGGUCAGACGGAAAGACCCUAUGAACCUUUACUGCAGCUUCGCCUUGGCGUUAGCGGCAACAUGUGUAGGAUAGGUGGGAGGCUAUGAAGCCGGGGCGCCAGCUCUGGUGGAGCCAUCCUUGAAAUACCACCCUUGUUGUCGCUGACGUCUAACCGCAGCCCGUUAUCCGGGUUCGGGACAUGGCGUGGCGGGCAGUUUGACUGGGGCGGUCGCCUCCCAAAGUGUAGCGGAGGCGCGCGAUGGUGGGCUCAGAGCGGUCGGAAAUCGCUCGACGAGUGCAAUGGCAUAAGCGUGCUUAACUGCGAGACUGACAAGUCGAGCAGAGACGAAAGUCGGCCAUAGUGAUCCGGUGGUUCUGCGUGGAAGGGCCAUCGCUCAACGAAUAAAAGGUACUCUAGGGAUAACAGGCUGAUUUUGCCCAAGCGUCCACAGCGACGGCAAAGUUUGGCACCUCGAUGUCGGCUCAUCACAUCCUGGGGCUGGAGCAGGUCCCAAGGGUUCGGCUGUUCGCCGAUUAAAGUGGUACGUGAGCUGGGUUCAGAACGUCGUGAGACAGUUUGGUCCCUAUCUGCCGUGGGUGUACGAAGCUUGAGAGGAUCUGUCCCUAGUACGAGAGGACCGGGAUGGACACACCUCUGGUGGACCUGUCGUGGCGCCAGCC